Molecule: RNA transcript, 2403 nt
Organism: Ochotona princeps (American pika)
Lineage: Eukaryota; Metazoa; Chordata; Mammalia; Lagomorpha; Ochotonidae
Gene: HOXB4
Gene name: homeobox B4
Exons: 3
Source: RefSeq, a predicted model, not a curated record
UUCCACCUUCAGUAUGGAAACCAUACUGGGUCUGGGUCGAGUAGGGCUAAUAAAGGGAGGAGUAGAUAGCAGUAGGCGGAUGGACAGACUGACCGAUACAGCCUCGCUAAUAGCGCAGCUACACGCGAUUUGCAAGGCGAGGUCUCCCCGAAUUAGUGCCUGAAUUUCCUAUCGAUCCGCUGGCGGUUCCAUUCAUCUCUGACAAGUCCCUCGCGCACCCGCCCUCCAGCUCCCCACGCCUCCUCUCUCACCCCCACCCCUCCCCAUCCAGCUGCACAGAAACGCCCCAAGCUCCGCGCCCCUCUCCCCCAACGGGUCCCCCUUUCAAGGCGGAGCACCCUGCCCGCCCGACCCUGCACUGCUCCUCCAUCCCCAGCAGGCAAAGGCAGGCGGCCUGAGCUGCCUCCCUCGCCGCCGGGCGGAACGGAGAGAGGAGCCUACGGAAAGCAGAGGAUGUUGGCAGUCAGGAGGCCGGGCUGGAGGGGCUACGCCGGGAUCCCCGACUUCCGAGGGACUCCGGGCGUCGCGCCCUGUCCAGCGCCCCAGAAGGCCUUCGGGUCGCAACCUGCUGGUUCUGGUGCGCUCCCUUGGAUCCGGGCGGGCGAGGAAGGGGGUCGCCCCACAGGACAGCCCUAUGUAAAUCCCGGUGCUGGGUGGGUGGGUGGGGAGGGGGAAGCGAAGAAGGGGAAGUAAACCUCUUUGGCUGGAGUGGGGUCCGGGUGAGCAGAUUUCCUUAUCCGGGAAUCGCAGGCGGGGCGGCCAUUGGCUCGGAGGAUCACGUGGGGCCCUAACUUUGUUCACUUGACAGUAAAGUAGGAGGGCUUUCGGAAACAGGAAAACGAGUCAGGGGUCGGAAUAAAUUUUAGUAUAUUUUGUGGGCAAUUCCCAGAAAUUAAUGGCUAUGAGUUCUUUUUUGAUCAACUCCAACUAUGUCGACCCCAAGUUCCCUCCCUGCGAGGAAUAUUCACAGAGCGAUUACCUACCCAGCGACCACUCGCCCGGGUACUACGCCGGCGGCCAGAGGCGAGAGAGCAGCUUCCAGCCAGAGGCGGGCUUCGGGCGGCGCGCGGCUUGCACCGUGCAGCGCUACGCGGCCUGUCGGGACCCAGGGCCCCUGCCGCCGCCGCCUCCGCCGCCGCCCCCACCCGGGCUGUCCCCUCGGGCUCCCGCGCCGCCACCCGCCGGGGCCCUCCUCCCGGAGCCCGGCCAGCGCUGCGAGGCGGUCAGCAGCAGCCCCCCGCCGCCUCCGUGCGCCCAGAACCCCCUGCACCCCAGCCCGUCCCACUCCGCGUGCAAAGAGCCCGUCGUCUACCCCUGGAUGCGCAAAGUUCACGUGAGCACGGUAAACCCCAAUUACGCCGGCGGGGAGCCCAAGCGCUCUCGGACCGCCUACACUCGCCAGCAGGUCUUGGAGCUGGAGAAGGAGUUCCACUACAACCGCUAUCUGACACGGCGCCGGAGGGUGGAGAUCGCCCACGCGCUCUGCCUGUCCGAGCGCCAGAUCAAGAUCUGGUUCCAGAACCGGCGCAUGAAGUGGAAAAAAGACCACAAGUUGCCCAACACCAAGAUCCGCUCGGGUGCCACCGCGGGUGCCGCUGGAGGACCCCCAGGCCGACCCAACGGCGGCCCGCCGGCGCUCUAGGGCCACUCCCCACCUCCCCCGGCUGCCACCACCAUCGCCAGGCGGGAGCCGUGGACCUCGGGGCAGGGGUGGGCAGCGAGCGCAGGGGGAGGGGAUGGGGGGCCUGGGCCCCGAGAAGCCUCCCUUUGCCCUUCUCCCCUGCCCCCACCCCCACUUUAUCCGAGUAGGAAUGAGCGCAGAGAAAGCUUUAUUUAUAGAAAUGACAAUAGGGAGCCGGGCGAGCCCCCUCCCACCCCAUCCCCCACCAGAGACAAGGUUCAAGUCUCUUGCUUUCUUCCUUUAAAAAAAAAAUGCAAGAAGAAGGGAAGAAGGAAGACAGAGAGAGACAGAAAGAGAAAUAGGAGGAGGCUCCAGCUUCUGUUUCCGGCUUUGGCGAAGAUGGAUCCACGUUUCAUCCUUAAUCACGCCAGGCCCCGGCCCAUCUGUCUUGUUUACUCUGCCGAGGAGAGGACCGGCCUCGGCGGCCACCAUUACCUCGACACCCGCUAACAAAUGAGGCCAGGCCUGCCGCCGCCUCUGCUGCUGCCGCUCCUCCAAGACUGCCUGGAUUUCCCUUCUUUGUCCCCUAGUCCCGACACCCAGCGCCAGCACCCUCUGCCUGCCAGAUAGCGCCGUGUUUUUGGCCACGCAAAUCUCCGCAGACCGGCUGUUGGGGGAAAAAAGUGUUAGCCGCUUCUCCCGGAUCUGCGAGGGGGAAAAAAUUUGGAGCCAUAAAGUUGAAAACUUUUUUCUCUCAGUUUGGAAGAAGCCGCUCGCCAUGA